RNAcentral lists this ribosomal RNA (192 nucleotides) under Triticum aestivum (bread wheat). RNAcentral describes it as "partial small subunit ribosomal RNA". Lineage: Eukaryota; Viridiplantae; Streptophyta; Magnoliopsida; Poales; Poaceae. The record is from RNAcentral.
AUUGCUCUCAUCCCUAAAAAGUUGGUUCCUCAAGUUCCUACUGAUUAUCGUCCAAUCAGCCUUUGUAAUGUUAUUUAUAAGAUCAUUGCUAAAUCUUUGGCUAAUAGGCUCAAACCGCACCUGCCUGAUUACAUUGAACCAACUCAGCAAGCUUUCAUUAAGGGGCGUAGAAUUAGCGAUAACAUCAUCAUU